GCAGUUGUAGAUAGCCUUAGCUGUGCAUUGCUCUUUUUGCAUCAGUCAAUAUUAUCAGAUCGAACAAAGCUUGGAAGGUCUCUUAGACAGUAAAAAAAAAACAGUAUAAUAGGAAGUUCAAGUUCUUGAGCAGCUUUCAUAGUGAAUGUUGACGUGAAAUCAUCUGUAACAAUGCAAGUCAAUGGAGGCACAUUCAUGGAAGAAGAGUAUCUUUAAUCUUAACAAGGAGUACAAGAAAUGACUGCGAAGAAUCUUUCAUAACAGAUUCACAAAGAGAAGGUAUAUCUUAGGAAGAAUCACGAUCAGAAGGAGGAAGACCAUCAGGAAUAUUUUGGAAUUGGAAGUCAGUGGAGCAGGGAUAAAAAGUGCACGAGGCUUAUUCGCAACAUUCUUGGAAGAGUCCAUCUCAUUAUCUUUCUUCACUCAGGUUCACAAUUCCACCGCUCAAAGGACUCCGCCUCUCUGAUUUUUAGACUAAAGGAAAAGGAACCAAUUUUAGUUCAUAGGAGUCUCUAUUUGCUAGCGUUGGACUCCAUUAUUUAUACUAUUAGUCAGAUAGGCAAUUAUUCAGUUCUUGCAAGAAAGAAAGAAAAAGAGAGGAAUGAUGAUAACAUUUGAUAAUUAGCUAAGAAGAUAAGAACAUUAAGUGAGUUCUCUAGGCUGAAAGAAUAUAUUUGCUUACGUUGCCUUCUUUAA
Long non-coding RNA from Ricinus communis (castor bean), 696 nucleotides. RefSeq lists it as uncharacterized. NCBI's taxonomy places the organism in Eukaryota, Viridiplantae, Streptophyta, Magnoliopsida, Malpighiales, Euphorbiaceae. The record is from RefSeq and is a predicted model, not a curated record. The transcript is spliced from 3 exons.